CAUCCAUCCCGAGCGGCCGAGAGACCUGGAUCGACGAAGCCGCAGCAACCACCCGACCCCGGGCAGGUGCUACCGCCAGGACCGAUGGAGG
This 91-nucleotide non-coding RNA is filed under the name Kutzneria sp. 744. RNAcentral's name for it is "SAM riboswitch aptamer (S box leader)". It matches the Rfam family "SAM riboswitch aptamer (S box leader)". From Rfam's summary of the family: The SAM riboswitch is found upstream of a number of genes which code for proteins involved in methionine or cysteine biosynthesis in Gram-positive bacteria. The SAM riboswitch acts at the level of transcription termination control. The predicted structure consists of a complex stem-loop region followed by a single stem loop terminator region. The record is from Rfam by way of RNAcentral. RNAcentral also lists the same sequence under 1 other name. Lineage: Bacteria; Bacillati; Actinomycetota; Actinomycetes; Pseudonocardiales; Pseudonocardiaceae.